RNAcentral lists this long non-coding RNA (505 nucleotides) under Mus musculus (house mouse). RNAcentral describes it as "long non-coding RNA chr11:113756701-113757206". The record is from RNAcentral. Lineage: Eukaryota; Metazoa; Chordata; Mammalia; Rodentia; Muridae.
AAUCACACUGCCAACAUUCCAGAAAAUGUCGACAUCACCCUGAAGGGACACACAGUCCUUGUGAAGGGCCCCAGAAGAACCCUCCGGGGGAACCUCAAGCCCAUCCACGCAGAGCUGAGUCUCCUUGGAAAGAAACAGAAGAGGCUCUGAGUUGGCACGUGGUGGGGUGACAGAACAGAACCGGCCGCUGUCUGAACCGUGUGCAGUCAUGUUCAGAACGCGAUCAAGGGUGUCGUGCUGGGCUUCCGUUACAGGAUGAGGUGUGUGGAUGCUCACCUACGUAUCAACGUCCUUAUUCAGGGAGAAUGGGUCUUUGGUAGAAAAAUGAAACUUCGGAAAAGAGAUCCGCAGUGUUCGGGUGGCCGGGUGUGUCGCUCGUUCUGUCUCUCCAGCCCACAGGGAUGAACUAAUCCUUGAAGGAAAAGACUCUGGAUUUGUUUCAGAUUCAGCAAACCAGAACUGUUCAAACCAAGGGUUUGGAAGGUUUCUGGAUGGAAGCUAUCUG